RNAcentral lists this ribosomal RNA (301 nucleotides) under uncultured bacterium. RNAcentral describes it as "partial 16S ribosomal RNA". It matches the Rfam family "Bacterial small subunit ribosomal RNA", at positions 509 to 809 of the family's 1533-position model. The record is from RNAcentral.
CAGCCGCCGCGGGAAUACGGAGGGUGCAAGCGUUAAUCGGAAUUACUGGGCGUAAAGCGCACGCAGGCGGUCUGACAAGUCAGAUGUGAAAUCCCCGGGCUUAACCUGGGAACUGCAUUUGAAACUGUCAGGCUGGAGUCUUGUAGAGGGGGGUGGAAUUCCAGGUGUAGCGGUGAAAUGCGUAGAGAUCUGGAGGAAUACCGGUGGCGAAGGCGGCCCCCUGGACAAAGACUGACGCUCAGGUGCGAAAGCGUGGGGAGCAAACAGGAUUAGAUACCCCUGUAGUCCCUGUCCUUAUACA